UGUUUCUUGGUGUGUGCAGAGAGGUGCAGACACUUCCUCCUUUUGUGGAACUCCCAGAUGGUCAAAACUCCUGAGACUUGGCACUGACACAGUCAAAGGUGCACACUGGAUUUGGAAUGCCCAGGCUCAGUGGUUGGUUAAAAAUCCCAGCCAUGAUAUAUAAUAAAUGACAGAUGUUAUAGAUACUCCUGGGUGCAAUGAGGAAGGUCACAGAAAUUUGCUUCUAAAAAUCAAUUUUAAUUUCUCUUUUCCUGCUGACAGCUUGGUGCUAAGGGUGGGCCUCCAUUUGAUGUGAGCCCUGCAAGCUGCUGCAGGCUACCAGUGAUUGGAAUUUACUUGGAUUAGUCUAAUUGCUGCCUCUGCCAUCAUCUGUUUGCAAUCACAAAGAGGAAGCUUCUGAAGCUUGGGAAUGAGAGAAAAUGAAGUGUCCUGACAACCACAAAACAGCAAGAAAGCUUUUGGAGGUUUUCCCAUCACUGUUUGAAUAAAUUCAGAGACAAGGCCUCACUAAUGCUCCUUAGCAACUUCAGCUCAAGUCCAAAACCAAAUGAUGCCCCUGGGGAUUUAAUGUGUUCUUAGAGUGAAAUAUCUGCCCCACUGCAGAUACUGCCCUUAGCUCCAUCACAGCCUCCUUAUUGUUUAAAAGCUGGCCUCUGAAGACAGCAUCAGUGAGGAACAGUGGGAGAUAACAACACAAACCAGAGGAAGGAAAAAGAGAUCCUAAGAGCUGUCAGAACAGCAGCAGCAGUUGGCCUAGAGGGGAAGCUGCCCUCCAGCCACAAUCCCACCCCAUGGCUGAUCCAGAGGGAAUCAGGCACGUGGUGACCUCCAGAGAUGGCAGCCAGCAGCAAACCCACGGGACCUGCAGUGACACAGCACAGCAAAAGCUGUAAAGUGACACUGCACAGGAGUCAGAAGAUCAUCCAUGGACUCCACUCAGAUUUCUGGAGGCAGGGCUGGCACGUUGGAUUGCAACAUUGCUGAAAGGAAAAGCAUGAACGCUGCAGGAAUUUCUGCUCCAUGGAAAAAUGUUAUUUUUGGAUUCUUCAGGAAGGCGUGCACAUAAAACCACCGGUUCCCUGCUUGGUGGUCAUGGAGUCACCUGUGUCCCCCGUGUCCCUCUGGUUGCCCUCUGAGCUCAGGCUGCAUCUUUAUGGGAAGAAGGUGUCCAAGAAAGUGACAACAGCCAGGAGAAAGCAAGACGGAGACUUGGCAGCUGAAAUUUUGA
This is a long non-coding RNA of Vidua chalybeata, 1228 nucleotides long. RefSeq lists it as uncharacterized. Lineage: Eukaryota; Metazoa; Chordata; Aves; Passeriformes; Viduidae. The record is from RefSeq and is a predicted model, not a curated record. The transcript is spliced from 7 exons.